GGAAUUUUCCGCAAUGGGCGAAAGCCUGACGGAGCAAUACCGCGUGAGGGAUGACGGCCUUCGGGUUGUAAACCUCUUUUAUCAAGGAGGAAGUUCUGACGGGUACUUGAUGAAUAAGCAUCGGCUAACUCCGUGCCCGCAGCCGCGGUAAGACGGAGGAUGCAAGUGUUAUCCGGAAUCACUGGGCGUAAAGCGUCUGUAGGUGGUUUAAAAAGUCUGCUGUUAAAAAUUGAAGCUUAACUUCAAGGGUGCCGUAGAAACUUUUAAACUCGAGGAUGGUAGGGGUAGAGGGAAUUUCCAGUGGAGCGGUGAAAUGCGUAGAUCUUGGAAAGACCACCAAUGGCGAAGGCACUCUACUGGGCCAUUACUGACACUAAGAGACGAAAGCUAGGGGAGCAAAU
RNAcentral lists this ribosomal RNA (401 nucleotides) under uncultured bacterium. RNAcentral's name for it is "bacterial SSU rRNA". It matches the Rfam family "Bacterial small subunit ribosomal RNA", at positions 358 to 773 of the family's 1533-position model. The record is from RNAcentral.